This is a long non-coding RNA of Octopus sinensis (East Asian common octopus), 1453 nucleotides long. RefSeq lists it as uncharacterized. The transcript has 2 exons. Lineage: Eukaryota; Metazoa; Mollusca; Cephalopoda; Octopoda; Octopodidae. The record is from RefSeq and is a predicted model, not a curated record.
AGCAUCUACAUAAAAGAUAAGGAGUAUAUUUAUGUAUGCAGAUAAUAAAAUGAAUGGUUUCUACCUGAUAAUUUGCUGGUAAAAUGUGGUUACUUUCACAGUGUUCAUUAUGUAAAUGAAAGAUGCAAGAUACAAGGAUUUUUAUUAAUCACCACAAUUGUCUCGACAAGUCUAGCAUUGACCCCUCAUGGGUGGGACACUCAACAACUGAUUCAGGAGCAUCCAACAGCACAGAUGUCUCUCUUCAGGUGAUAAAUAGAUAUAGCUCAUUAAAAUAACAGUUUUGCAAUGUAUCUUCUCAUUUCAUGUAAAGAAAAGCAGCAAAUUAAAGGAAAUAUCUUCAUUUAUAUAGAGGAUCGAUAAUAAAAUAACAAAUCCAAAAAAGAAACAAACACGCAAUACAUCGAGAAAAGUAUUCAAAGUAACUGUUAAUGGCUAUGAAUGUAUAAACACUCUUGCACAAGCUGCAUGGCACAUGUACACUCACUCAUACAAGCAUCCAUGAAGAUGCAAGCAUAUGCACAUGGUUUGGUGCACACAUUCACACAGUGAAUUAAAUAGCUGCUUGGUGCCUACAUACAUAUAAGUGUACUUUUACAGAAUGCAGUGGGAAUGAAUUUGAGAAAAUUUACUUAAAAGAUAUAGAAGAAUUAAGUUUAGUUUUGAACUCCCCAUCCUGGAAUGCACCUCAUAUAUCCAUCUAUCUAUUUAUCUGCCAUUAUCCUCCUUCCUUGCUGACAUGGAGGGUAAUGGAUGUGUAGUGAGAAUAUAUGUUCAGAAUUGGCUGCAUGUAUAUUAUUACAAGAAUUCUUACAGAGAAGAAGAAUAAAUUUAAGAACUACAUAUUUACUACAUAAAAAUAUAUUUUAUUCAUUGGCUGUUGAUGAAACAUAAUCAAAAUGUAGAAUCUAGUUGAAUGAAGUAAUCUAUGCAAGCCUAGAGAAAUAGAUGGACAUAGCAAUGACAUAAACGGCUCUGAGUCUAAUUGACUAAGAAGCGAAGAGCAGGGUAAGCAAGCUGUUUUUAUUAAUGGAACGCUAGACAUUCUAGAAACUUCUAAGAGAAACGCAAAGCUACUUGAAUAAUUAAGAAUUACAUCUCAUGACCCAGAUGCUUUGAGAAACUUAGUAAAGGGAGAUUAGUAGUAGUGAAGGAGGUGGCUUUGAGCCAAAGGACAGGAAUAAAGUCUUGAAGUAGAGGAGAUACAUGCCUGUGCAAGUUGGAGAGAGAGAGAGAUUGUGAAGAUGGGGGAGUUUACACUAAACAGACAUUAUAGAUUGUGUUCUCUUCUCAACAUGUUUUACCCAGCCAUCAAGUCUAUUUUCAUAAUAUAUUACAACUUUUGAAACCCUUCCCCAUCCAGCUUUUGUCUUUACCUAGCCAAAUCCAUCUCACAUUCUAAAAGUAAGGGACUAAAAAGAACAUGUCUAUUGUCAUUUCUCUCCUGACAAAU